Long non-coding RNA from Lolium rigidum, 1536 nucleotides. RefSeq lists it as uncharacterized. The record is from RefSeq and is a predicted model, not a curated record. NCBI's taxonomy places the organism in Eukaryota, Viridiplantae, Streptophyta, Magnoliopsida, Poales, Poaceae. The transcript is spliced from 5 exons.
CUCCCUGGCGCGCGUAGCCGCCGCCCUAUCGCCCUAGCAUGCGUCGCCGCUGCCCCCUCUCAACCGCCCGCGUCGCCUCCCUCUCCAACAGAGCUACCGCAUCGAGGUCGACUUGAAAAUUCGUUUUUUCCUCCACCGCCUGCCAAAUCUGCAGCGGCGGUGCUCGAUCUGACGAGCCAAGGUGAGGGCGGAGCUCCAAUCGUGGUGUUGGCGGCGGUGCGCUCGAUCUGACGAGCCAAGGUGAGGCACGGAGGAUGAGGUGGUGGAGAUCGCCGUGAAGCGGCUGUCGGCGAGGUCGCGGCAGGGCGCGGCGGAGUUCCCGAACGAGGUGGAGCUCAUCGCCAAGCUGCAGCACAGAAACCUGGUGCGGCUGCUGGGGUGCUGCGUCGAGAAGGACGAGAAGAUGCUCGUCUACGAGUACCUCCCCAACCAGAGCCUCGACGCGUUCCUCUUCGGAAUUAGGUGUGAAGAUCUGGUUUGAUUUGGUGACACAUGGGGCGAGCGUGCACAUAACUUGGGGCGCAUGGCUGAAGUGCUGAACCAAAUUACAGCUCGAUCUUGGGUUGUGCAGUCUCCGUAGUUUACUGAUUUUUAGUCAGUUAGGUCUAAUGAGGCUGCCAUCAGGUACUACAAGGACUUGCUUUGAUGAUACUCCAUCUUAGCCCAGAAGGCAUCGACAAGGUUUCAGUAAGCCCAGAAAGAUAACCUGUGAAGGUUCCUGGUCUCCAGGAUGUGUUAUGUGUGUUGCAUGAACCAGAUAUCUGAUGGCCAAUGCUUCCUCGAAAGGACAUUCCUGAGUCAUGCUUCCAUCAGAGCCACUGGUGUCAUUAUGAGCUGGAUGAAAGAUGCUGGACUUACGACGGUUGGGCCUUAUCUGUCGAGUUGGGCAUGUUUGUGACUGUAGUCAUUUUCCCACACUUUUGCCUUAACUAGCCGAUUUGUGUUUAUUAUUUAUUGACGAUUUUGUUUUGUUCAUUAUGAAGUUGGAUUGAUCAAAUGGGUAACAUUCAUGGUCGAUAUGAACCGCCCAACUCGACAGAUAAGGCCUUAUUGAUUGGAUCUCACAUGUACACUGUCAUUGAUGCUGGCAUGGAGCUUUGGGUAUUAUCUGUGCGAUCUCUGCUUUGAAGGUUUUGAAAGUUAUGGGAAACUUCAGAGGCUAACUAGACCAGUGGAGGUUAGAGAAUUUUCUAGUGUGGACAUCGUCUUCUUCGGGUGGAGUGAAAUUCAAGUGUGGGAGCACCAUAUUGAUCUGAUUGCUGCUGCUUCUGGUCUUUGUUCAGAACCUGUGCAUUGAGGUGCUUGGUGAGGAAGAACCUGGGCGCCAGUCGUCGACAGAGGCAAGGAGCACCUGGGCAAGGACUUGCUUGGACCGUACGAGGUCGUCUUCCAGGAGCUCCUGGGCGAGGAGAUGCAUGGGCCGGAUGAAAUCGUUCUCCAAAGCGCCUAGACGAGGAGAUCAUCGUCCAACAGCACCUGGGGGAGGAGAUCGGCCUCCACGAGCACCUGGGCAAGGAGCUGCCUGUGUGUCGGAGG